CACUAGUAAGGAUCAUUUGCACCACUUCCUUAAACCAUACCAAAAAUAAAAUAGAACUCCCCAAAAGUUUCCCACGAUGGCACACUCGCUCUAUUCGCCACUAGCUGAGGAACCUGAAAAGAUUAAAGGAGGAAUGGGAUGAGCAACCACAGCUCAAUGAGUAGUACAUAUCUUCUAAGCAGAUCGAACAACCACUAUACAUGUAUACAAAACAAUACCAAACUUCAUAAGCCAACUCAAUAUAUAAAAUAAGUAUUGAAUCUUAUAAGAGUUAUUUCUUAUCAUCAAGAUUUAUAGUAAUAUGGAAAACUCAUUUGAAUCGCCAUCAAAAUUCAAGUAUCAAUGGUCGAAUCCAUUGAAUAAUCUCCAUCAAAAACACAUAUCAAUGGUCUAUCCAUUAAUCAAUCUUUUGCUCAAUAACUAACCAUGGUCACGACACAACGCCUUGUGACAAGGCGACCAAGAUUCCCCCCUUGGCAAGGUCUCCACCUACAAAGCUGGUGGCUAGGCCCAGAAAGAUAUCCUAAACCUGGUAUGCAUACCCCAAAAACCCUUCAUUGGGUUCACAGUCAUAUUGAGCAUAAAUAACCAUUCUCAAAUACCAGAAAUCCAAUCCAAAAAUCAAUAUCUUAAACAAAACAAAUAAUAUUUUGCAACAUAGCCCAUCAUCCAUUUCAUAUCCGUUUCUCAAAUCAUCAUAAACCUUUUUAUAAAUCAGUCGCAAAGCAAUUUCAUAUAUGUUUCUUCACAAACCUUGUAUAAUGUGCUUUUCAAAGAUUCACAAUCAACCAAAGGGUAGCAAUUGCUCGAUCUGGCUUUUAUGCAAUAAAAAUGCUCUUCUCAAUUCAAUAUAUAUACAUAUAUAUACUUCAAGACAUGAUUUUAUAAAACCAAAGAAGAUAUAGUACCACUCACCUUAUCGUCUACGACCAAACGACAAACGAUAUUUGUAUCGUCGAACUCAAAGCCCUAUCAAAUAACCGAAGAAUAAUGUUAAAAUCUAAUAAAAUUCUAUCUCGACUACAAAACGACUAAGUUACGUCUUAACUCUAACAAAAGGACUUAUGUGCGCUAACAAGUCGCAUAACCAAAGCGAUUGUUUAAGCCAUUCGCAACAUGAAGUUUAAGCACAAAACUUGAUCGAGCCUUAACUUUCUCUUCCGAACCCCGAUCCGAACGUACUUAUAGUCAAUAGAGAGCCCUUGACACAUAUUACAAGAAUCUCAAAUUGGCCAUCCCAAAAUCAAGCCGAAAAAUGACAAAAUACGGGCCCAAAGCUGCUGGACGCGUACUGUUCACUGCGCGCGGGAAACUUUGGAAUUUUGUUUCGGACAAACCAUAAGCUCAAAUCACGAUCCGUAAAAUCUCACGGCUCCACAACACCCUAAAUUACCAUUCUUACAAAAAUACGUGGCUCAACGACUCCAAAAUUAGACUUCGCCGCUCGAUUUUCCAAAAAUUCCGAAUUUGAGUCAUAAAUCCAAAAAUUACCUCAAUCGGACAAACGAGGGGCUUGAUCUCUUACCGGGUUAUGGAGUCGAGUUGGCUUGGCAAGGCAUCCGAGGCAUGCACGUGCUAAACCUUCUUUCCUUUCUUCCCCUUUCUCUUCUUC
This 1612-nucleotide long non-coding RNA is filed under the name Eucalyptus grandis. Its description in RNAcentral is "long non-coding RNA (EGRA_LNC004581)". The record is from RNAcentral. Lineage: Eukaryota; Viridiplantae; Streptophyta; Magnoliopsida; Myrtales; Myrtaceae.